Long non-coding RNA from Cynoglossus semilaevis (tongue sole), 1802 nucleotides. RefSeq lists it as uncharacterized. Lineage: Eukaryota; Metazoa; Chordata; Actinopteri; Pleuronectiformes; Cynoglossidae. The transcript is spliced from 3 exons. The record is from RefSeq and is a predicted model, not a curated record.
GCGGCCGCUUCCGAUGUCACGGCCAUCUCCAGGCUGGGCACUAAGUCGUCCAGGUCGUCUCCUCCUAAGUCCUCCAGAGCCUCCUCUUCUUCUGCACUGGAGCACAGGAGGAUGUUGGAGUUCCCCAAAAUGGCGGCGGCAGCUGUGGGGAGGACGGAGAAUCCUGCAGAAUAGUGUCCACGUCAUCCUCGCUCUCCUCCUCCUCCUGCUCCUCCUCCAGGUCCUCCUCAUCACUUUUUGAAGAGAUCUUGCAGGAGGGUUUGUGAGAGGCCAGGACCUUCUCCAGCCUUUUUUUCUCCUUCAGAAGGUCGGUGAUUUCCGUAUGGAGGGCAGACUUCUCCUCCUCUAGCUUAUCAGUUUCCUGAGGUGAUGAAGGAGAAGAAAGGAGAAGAAAACUUUAAAACAGUGCUACUGCUGCUGCGCUCUCUGCCCCAUAAUGUACUUUGAUAAACUUUAAUGACUAAAGACUUGUGUCACAUAUAGUACAAAGUAUGAAGAAAAAUGAUAGAAAAGAAAUCAACAUAUAUAUAUAUAUAUAUACAGAUACAACAAAGACUCUUGCCUUUGACUAUGACUAUGUGUUUACUAUAUGUAUACUAGAAAUAGCUCCCACAAAUAAUAAUUUACAAAUAUAUAUAUAUAUAUAUAUAUUUGUAAAUGAAGAGAGUUUUGAUGUACACGUUUUUAUUUAGAUUAUUUUUCAAUGCCAUUCGAGGGUAAAUCUAAAUCACGCUGAUACAGGGACGUAGUGACACCCACAUCCAACCUGGACCUCAUCAGUAACCAUUUCUCCAUGUGUGAUUUCAUAUUCGCAUCUAAACCGUGAUACUCACCGCCUGGAGCGUGUCUAUCAGCUCCCUCCGUCUGUUACGACACUUUGCUGCAGCGAUUUUGUUCCUCUCCCUCCUGAUCCUGCGCCUCUCCUCCUCCUCCUCCUCCUUUUUGGAAGACUGAAAUCAAUUAGAAAUCGUCUAUUAAUCACCCGUCCUGCUGAGUGCAGCCGCUUCAGCACUUGGCUGCCGAGCUCCAUGCCUGCUGCCAGAGCAAAUGUCGCUGAGCUGGCUGACAAACAGUGAUGCACUGAUGCUGUGUCUCCGUGUCGCAGAUCAGGCGUUAGAAAAAAACGCUGCUGCAACAACGUGGAGCCCCGAGCCAGAGUCGGUGUGAACGCGCACUUUAUGCAACGGCACGUUCACACACAGGGAUGCGCACGUCAGUCCAGCAAUUAAUGAACGGAGAUGUCAAUUAGAUACAAUCAUCCACCUACACUGAUACUGACUGGAUAUUAUUAAUAAACAGAGCUAGUCACGUGAAUGCAUGGGUGGAUAGACGAAUUGAUUGAUUGGCUAAUUGAUUGGUUAAUUGAUUGUUUGUUCGACUGAUUGUAGUUUUGUUUGCAUACCUGGCUCCUCUGUCCUUUCCUGCUGGAGGUCUUCGCCUUGUUCGCACCUGCCGUGGUGCUGAUGCUGCUGGACGCAUGUGCUGCGCCACGACUCCUACUCUUGGCCCGUCCGGAUGGAGGAGAGACAGAUGUGUUGACUGUCGGCUGCACCAUCCAUCUCAGAUCAGGAGAGGUGGAGACUGCAGUCACUGUCGGGACAAAGGAGUUUGCUGCGUCCUCCUGGUAGGGGGAAAAAAGACCCCGAAAACAUGGCAAUUCAUGUUUCGUGUUGGUAAGACCUGCCGAGCUGCAUGUACCUCGAUGAUGCUGCUGUCCACUGGUGAUAAAAGCCUGUCUGGAGGACGCUGGUCGCUGCAUCUGGGGGUGUCCCCGCCAGGCGAUGCUGUGCUGCAGCUGGACG